GCGCAGUCGUUCUGUGGAUUCGUAUGUCACGACCGGCACACUUCGAAACCAAUGGGCUGCUGACGGAGAUAAAGAUGUGGCGGCAGUCGGUAACAAUUUAUAUCGCCGAAGCGAAGUGCUUAAUAAGCCAUCAAUAUCCCAAUGGUCCUUCCGCCGAAUGUUCGAGAAGAAGGCGUGCGUAGCAACGGUCGUGAACGCCUAACAAACGCGUGGAUAGUGGGGAUAUUGAGGGGUGAUAAAGGAAAAAGAGUCGGAUCCGAUCGAAAGUCAAGUUGUAAGAGCUUCAGUCUUGGAAAGUCAUGGCUGGAGUUCGGAAGUAAACUGUCGUUAGGUGCUCAAAGUCUCCAGAAACUUGUGCAUGGAUUUCGUGUUAUUCAACUAAAUCUUCUCUUCUCUUAUGUUGGUAUGCAUGAUGAUACGGCGCUCCAUAAAGAUGUAUAAAGAUGGCGAUUAUGCCGCUUAGUUGGACCUUGAAGCCCCCAUCAGCGAGCAACAGGAAGAAUUCGAAGAUUUCCAGACCAAGUAAGUCUUCUCGUCAUUUAACAUCCUUAAUAAAAAGCAUCAUGCUUUAAUUACUUUAAUUACCUACCUCACCCCCUUAAAAUUGUUCUAUAACAUCAGUUAGAUUGUGAUUUUAAUGUAAAUUACGAUUAAAAUUGAUACUGUGGUGAAUAGUGUGAGGUUCAAUAAUAUAGAAUAACGAGAGAUUGCUGCUGCAACCCGUUAAAUAUGUUUGGAAUAAAUUAAAUAGAUAUAAAUAAAUAUAAAUACUGUCGAGAGACGCUCGCACAAACGUAUUUGCAAAGAUAGAGUAUGAACGUUGGCGGAUAAUUCGAUAACUCGUCUACUCCGCUAAUCGCUGAUAAUAACUCGGAUAGUAACUCGGAUAAUAACUCACUCGUUCGCGAUCGCGUCCGUUUAUUUAUACUAGUCGGAGGGGGGGGGGGAGAUUCAGAAAAUUUGAAUUCGUCUUAGGUGGACGGUUGCCCAUAACGGCGACAUUGAUUUUUUCCGGAGUUUAUCUAUCGUUAUGUUUCAUGCAUCAAGGCGGCUUUCGUGUUCCAAGGCACAACAACAACAUGAAUCGCUCUCUAUUCGCAUCGUCCUAUGACUCAUAUGCCGCUACAUCACCCCCCCCCCUACCAGUGAUAACGUUAUUAUUAGGUCGUAUUCAAAAAAGUUAUUUAUACUAUUUCUCUUGGUCGUCGCUGUUUUAAAAGUUAGAUACAUACAAUACAUCCGGUGUUCGAUAAUUUACGACUUUUACCCGAAACCAAUCGGAAAAACGGACUUUUCGUCUAGACCGCGUAACGUAUUUAUUCCUGGCGUUUUCUUCCGUGGUUCGGUCGUUAUUGUUUGCACCGCUUCCGUCGCAGGUAUUUGUUUGUCCCAUCGGAAUCAGUACGUUACGAGUUUCGGCGGUUUUCUCCUCCAAGUCGUUCGGUACUAUAUACGCGGGUUUCAAUCGAUCCACGGAAACCGUUACGUCGUGAUUAUUUAUUUUUUUCGUUCGAUUAUUAAUUUUUAAUUUUCGAUUUUUAAUUUUUCGUUCCCUUUUACUACAUUUUAGCGGCCCAUCGUACUGCAGCUGUAAAGGGCCUUCUAUCGCGCCAUGGCGCAAGAAAACAUACUGCGAUGAUUCUAACUGUUCAAAAAUGAAGAUUUUCUUUUCUCCAUGACGCGUAACUGGGUAUGGCCUGACUUUCUCCAUCCGUUCUUUUAGCCGGUUCAACGAGGGCCGAGGCAACGGUUGGCGCUUCCAUAUCAGCAAUGGGAACGGCUUCGGGCCAAUGCGAAAAAUGAUCGAUACACGUUAGAUAAUAUCGAUAGCCUUGCGAAUAUUCCAUUACGAUAAUCUCUAAGUGUAUGUGUUCGAACCGGCCUGCUAACGUUUUGAACGUUCCAACAGCUCUUUCUGGUUUGUUCGGACCAUUCAGUGGACGCGUUACACUUCUUUGUGCCUUUCAAUAAGUCAUUAAGAGGUUGGAGAAUUUUCGCAGCCGCCGGUAUGAAACGUCGGUAGAAGUUGAUCAUACCGAGGUACCUUCGUAGGUCUCCAAUCGUCGCGGGUAACGGUACUUUAACUAUAGCGUCAACGCGUUCGGCUAAUGGUUUUAUCCCCUCGGCAGUUACGGUAUAACCUACGAAUUUUAUUUCGCGCACGCCGAAUUUAAUUUUUUUAGAAACCCGUAUUCGUCUGAGCGUUUAAACAAAAUCCACAAGUGUUCACGGUGUCGUUCUUCGUUUUCGAAUGUGAUCAAAAAGUCGUCUAUGUAUGCGUAGACGAAAUCUAAACCUGUCGUGAUUUCGUCUACGAAUCUGUGACACGUUUGAGCGGCGUUUCGAAGCCCAAACAUCAUGUUGGUCGCUUCGAAAAGACCAAAAGGUGUUGUAAUCGCGGUCUUUACUACGUCUUCCGGCGCAAUUAAUAUUUGAUGGCAAGCGUGAACGAGAUCGAUUUUAGAGAGAACACGCUUACCAUACGAGUUCUGCGCAAAGUCCUCAAUGUGCGGCGUUGUGUACCUGUCCGAAGUGGUGCGGCCAUUCAAUGCCCGAUAGUCGCCACAAGGUCGAAUCCCUCCAUCCUUCUCAGGUACGACGUGUAAGGGUGAUGCUACGGGCCUUGCGAUGGCUGCAUCACGCCUUGCUCUAUCAUGACUUCGAAUUCCGCCCUCGCCAGUGUGAGUCGGUCAGAGGCGAGGCGGCGUGGUUUGGCGUGGAUGCGGGGUCCAGACAUCGUGCUGAUAUGGUGUUGCACACAAUACCGUAGAGAGCUUCUCCGGAAAAUAGGCGGUCUCUGCAAAUCAGGGAAUUUCGCCAGCAGUCUAUGGUACGGUGAUUCUCCAUCGAUGGUUUUACUUGACACUGCGUCGGCUGUGGCGACGAAUCCCUUUGUCGACAGUUGUGUAGUCGUGUCUAGAAGCCGCUUAUUUCGUGGGUAGAUAAGCAACCUGUAAUGGCUCAGGAAAUCGAUGAUAGGCGUUUGCAGAUCGGCCACUACAAAACGCUACCUGAAAGAUCGGCGUAAUGAUAGGUUGAGGGACACGGUAAUGGUACCGUACGUCACAAUCCGCGUUCCAUUUGCCGCGAACAGUUCGUAGUCACUCUUGUUCGCGGGUCACGUACCUUGUUGCGCGUAUAAACACACGUGUCAGCACCGGUGUCUAUCAGAAAUGAAAUGAUCGUUCGAUUACCUGUGACGAAGAUGCGGAGGGUUCCCAAGUCAUCGUCGUAUGCCGCAUUUACAGACAGCUAAUCCCGUUUCCCUGGUUCCAUUUGCACGGGUAACAACAUCUUUGUGCGCAGUCCCGGAAGAUCUGAUAAUAGCACAGGCCGGAGUCGUACGAUCUUUCUCGCGACCUCGAUCUAUUUCGAUUUCUUGAUCUCGAUCGCCGACGCGCACGAUGAUUGAUACUCAGUGCACUCACCUGGGCUCUCAGUUGGUUCAUUUGGUCGCUUAGCGUGUUGAGGAGGGCGAGCCAUGUUCCCUUCGUUCUGCGAGUCGAUUAUUGUUGUUAUCCGUGGAGUAUACUGGUGAUCCUCUCCGAAUUCUUCUGCAAUCACGUCCACUGACCGCAUUAAUUUUUCUGGGUUUGUGCCGCCGAGUGAUAGCGGGCGGGUAGUUGAUUCCUCCACAUCGUGAGGAUGAUAUCAUGCGACGUGGAGGGGUUAGCGAGUUU
Bombus terrestris (buff-tailed bumblebee) is the source of this 3680-nucleotide long non-coding RNA. RefSeq lists it as uncharacterized. The transcript has 3 exons. Lineage: Eukaryota; Metazoa; Arthropoda; Insecta; Hymenoptera; Apidae. The record is from RefSeq and is a predicted model, not a curated record.